UACGAAGGGGGCUAGCGUUGUUCGGAUUUACUGGGCGUAAAGAGCGCGUAGGCGGACGUUUAAGUCAGAGGUGAAAUCCCAGGGCUCAACCUUGGAAGUGCCUUUGAUACUGGAUGUCUCGAGUGUGAUAGAGGUAAGUGGAAUUGCGAGUGUAGAGGUGAAAUUCGUAGAUAUUCGCAGGAACACCGGUGGCGAAGGCGACUUACUGGAUCAUUACUGACGCUGAGGCGCGAAAGCAUGGGGAGCAAACAGG
This 253-nucleotide ribosomal RNA is filed under the name uncultured bacterium. RNAcentral describes it as "partial 16S ribosomal RNA". It matches the Rfam family "Bacterial small subunit ribosomal RNA", at positions 524 to 776 of the family's 1533-position model. The record is from RNAcentral.